RNAcentral lists this ribosomal RNA (253 nucleotides) under uncultured bacterium. RNAcentral's name for it is "partial 16S ribosomal RNA". It matches the Rfam family "Bacterial small subunit ribosomal RNA", at positions 524 to 776 of the family's 1533-position model. The record is from RNAcentral.
UACGUAGGUGGCAAGCGUUGUCCGGAAUUAUUGGGCGUAAAGCGCGCGCAGGCGGUCCUUUAAGUCUGAUGUGAAAGCCCCCGGCUCAACUGGGGAGGGUCACGCGAUACUGCUCGACUCGAAGGCAGGAGAGGGAAGUGGAAUUCCCGGUGUAGUGGUGAAAUGCGUAGAUAUCGGGAGGAACACCAGUGGCGAAGGCGGCUACCUGGCCCAUUCUUGACGCUGAGGCGCGAAAGCUAGGGGAGCAAACGGG